This 253-nucleotide ribosomal RNA is filed under the name uncultured bacterium. RNAcentral describes it as "partial 16S ribosomal RNA". It matches the Rfam family "Bacterial small subunit ribosomal RNA", at positions 524 to 776 of the family's 1533-position model. The record is from RNAcentral.
UACGUAGGGUCCGAGCGUUGUCCGGAAUUAUUGGGCGUAAAGGGCUCGUAGGCGGUUUGUCGCGUCGGGAGUGAAAACCUACAGCUUAACUGUGGGCUUGCUUUCGAUACGGGCAGACUUGAGGCAUGCAGGGGAGAACGGAAUUCCUGGUGUAGCGGUGAAAUGCGUAGAUAUCUGGAGGAACACCGGUGGCGAAGGCGACAUCCUGGACCGGUAUUGACGCUGAGGCGCGAAAGCCAGGGGAGCAAACGGG